CAGUCGAACGUGAAGCCACCUUCGGGUGGUGGAAAGUGGCAGACGGGUGAGUAACGCGUGGGAACGUGCCUUUCGGUUCGGAAUAACCCAGGGAAACUUGGGCUAAUACCGGAUACGCCCUUCGGGGGAAAGAUUCAUCGCCGGAUGAUCGGCCCGCGUCGGAUUAGCUAGUUGGUGGGGUAAUGGCCCACCAAGGCGACGAUCCGUAGCUGGUCUGAGAGGAUGACCAGCCACACUGGGACUGAGACACAGACCCAGACUCCUACGGGAGGCAGCAGUGGGGAAUAUUGGACAAUGGGCGAAAGCCUGAUCCAGCCAUGCCGCGUGGGUGAAGAAGGCCUUAGGGUUGUAAACCCCUUUCAGCGGGGAAGAUAAUGACGGUACCCGCAGAAGAAGUCCCGGCUAACUCCGUGCCAGCAGCCGCGGUAAUACGGAGGGGACUAGCGUUGUUCGGAAUUACUGGGCGUAAAGCGCGCGUAGGCGGAUUUGCAAGUCGGGGGUGAAAUCCCGAGGCUCAACCUCGGAACUGCCCUCGAUACUGCAAAUCUCGAGUCCGGAAGAGGUGAGUGGAAUUCCUAGUGUAGAGGUGAAAUUCGUAGAUAUUAGGAAGAACACCAGUGGCGAAGGCGGCUCACUGGUCCGGUACUGACGCUGAGGCGCGAAAGCGUGGGGAGCAAACAGGAUUAGAUACCCUGGUAGUCCACGCCGUAAACUAUGGGUGCUAGCCGUCGGGGAGCAUGCUCUUCGGUGGCGCAGCAAACGCAUUAAGCACCCCGCCUGGGGAGUACGGUCGCAAGAUUAAAACUCAAAUGAAUUGACUGGG
Molecule: ribosomal RNA, 823 nt
Filed under: uncultured Alphaproteobacteria bacterium
Lineage: Bacteria; Pseudomonadati; Pseudomonadota; Alphaproteobacteria
Description: bacterial SSU rRNA
Rfam family: Bacterial small subunit ribosomal RNA
Source: RNAcentral